Mastomys coucha (southern multimammate mouse) is the source of this 511-nucleotide long non-coding RNA. RefSeq lists it as uncharacterized. The record is from RefSeq and is a predicted model, not a curated record. The transcript is spliced from 3 exons. NCBI's taxonomy places the organism in Eukaryota, Metazoa, Chordata, Mammalia, Rodentia, Muridae.
CAAAGAAGAGCAAUGACAAUGUGCAAAGAGGAGUUUGGGGCAGUGCUUGAGGCCGUUGAAGUAGUCCAGGCUUCACAUUGCAUCUCCCUGGGCAGGAUGUUCCCACUAGCUAAGCUCAGCACCGUAAAAUUGGACAGAGUCCAGCUUUAUAUACUUCAAACUCCUUUCUCGUUUGUACCAGAAAGAUGAAGAGCGGAAGGCUACAGGAGCCAAGAAACCUUCCCGAGGCCCCAGAAUGAAGAAGACCUAGAUGUUUUCUGGAAAUCUCACAAACAAGACUAUUGACCUUAGUUCACGGUAGAGACAUCUGUAGACUCCCACAACUCUCGUGAUCUAGGCCCUUACUUCAUCAGCUGCAAUCCUGUCCAUUUCACCUCUGAAGCCACCCUGUGAUUUCAUCCAGCCUCCCCAGCAAGCCUUUAAAUCUGCCACUCCAGAAGCCGGUAAGACUGCACAUAGGAUACUAUAAAGCAGGGGUUCUCAACCUGUGGAUCGGGACCCCUGGAGGGUC